GGGGGGGGGGGGGUAAUAUCAUUGUUGUUGUGGUUGUUGAGGCGAACAUGGUGGCUAACAAAACUGACUGGAUAUUGGUGAUAACUAGGGAAUAUGAUGCAUUUUACACUCCUUCAUGAUCAAGUUUUUAUUAGAAAUGUGUAUAAAAUAGUCCCAAAUGCUCACUAGUUGUUCUUGAUGGGAGGUUUAAUCAACAAGGUGACAAAGUGUCAAAAACCAGCUCAAAAGGAGUGAAACUUGCACAAUUACCAAGACAAGACAAAUCUUAGUCAAUCAGGGCCAGUGCGCAUCACACCAUUCUGUCGGUCCGCACAAGUGAUGUUCAAAGAGGUUUUUAUUCAGACCAAAAGGCAAUGUGGCCACAAGGGGUUUUGUGCGUCCGCAUUGGGAUCAUUGCUGUCGCACUUGAUUUAGUACAGUCCACAGAGCCAAGGUUCAGAGAGUGGUGUUUUUUAGGUUGAAGCUCAAUACGAUCCGCGGUCCUUUUUUGUGUGGAUCGCAAUGGAAGCCACCACGGCCGCACUUGAUUUCGUAUGGUAUGCAUUGCCCACGUUCAGAGAGCUUAUUAUUCAAGUUCAGAGCCUUAGUGCCGCCACACUUGUUUUUGUGCGGUCUGCACUAGCCCCCCAGGGAUAUUUUUUUCUAGAAUUUUCAGCCUAGUAUAAAUAGUUUCUUUUCCCAUUUUUAGGGAAUCAGAUAGUUUUGUACUGGGAGCUGCGCUCCUGACUUUGUUUCUUUUACCUAUUUUCAGUAAUUUUGGUGUGAUUUCAACAUUGAAUCUUCAAGUUUAAUUUAGUUAU
This 800-nucleotide long non-coding RNA is filed under the name Nicotiana benthamiana. RNAcentral's name for it is "long non-coding RNA (NBEN_LNC024101)". Lineage: Eukaryota; Viridiplantae; Streptophyta; Magnoliopsida; Solanales; Solanaceae. The record is from RNAcentral.